Pogona vitticeps (central bearded dragon) is the source of this 188-nucleotide non-coding RNA. The record is from RefSeq and is a predicted model, not a curated record. Lineage: Eukaryota; Metazoa; Chordata; Lepidosauria; Squamata; Agamidae.
AGGACAGAUCAUCGGACAGUCCAAGCCAGUCCUAAGGAGUCCAGAUAAGGGAUGGGGACUUCAUGAAGAACUGGAAACGUCCAAGAACAAUCAUAGGCUCAGACAAGGAUCAGGCUGACAGGAAAGAAUUGAAACCCAAAGAUAAUGUCAUGGAUUCCAGGUGGAGCAGAUCAGAAUCCUUCUUGAAG